RNAcentral lists this ribosomal RNA (253 nucleotides) under uncultured bacterium. Its description in RNAcentral is "partial 16S ribosomal RNA". It matches the Rfam family "Bacterial small subunit ribosomal RNA", at positions 524 to 776 of the family's 1533-position model. The record is from RNAcentral.
UACGAAGGGUGCAAGCGUUGUUCGGAUUUAUUGGGCGUAAAGCGCACGUAGGUGGACCUAUAAGUCAGAUGUGAAAUCUCGGGGCUCAACCUCGAAACUGCGUCUGAAACUGUGGGUCUAGAAUCUUGGAGGGGGAAGGGGAAUUUCUCAUGUAGGGGUAAAAUCCGUAGAUAUGAGAAGGAACACCAGAGGCGAAGGCGCCUUCCUGGACAAGUAUUGACACUGAGGUGCGAAAGCGUGGGGAUCAAACAGG